This 401-nucleotide ribosomal RNA is filed under the name uncultured bacterium. Its description in RNAcentral is "bacterial SSU rRNA". It matches the Rfam family "Bacterial small subunit ribosomal RNA", at positions 975 to 1375 of the family's 1533-position model. The record is from RNAcentral.
CAGGCCUUGACAUCCAAUGAACUUUCCAGAGAUGGAUUGGUGCCUUCGGGAACAUUGAGACAGGUGCUGCAUGGCUGUCGUCAGCUCGUGUCGUGAGAUGUUGGGUUAAGUCCCGUAACGAGCGCAACCCUUGUCCUUAGCUACCAGCACGUAAUGGUGGGCACUCUAAGGAGACUGCCGGUGACAAACCGGAGGAAGGUGGGGAUGACGUCAAGUCAGCACGGCCCUGACGCCCUGGGCGACACACACGCUACAAUGGCCGGGACAGAGGGUCGCCAACCAGCGAUGGGGAGCCAAUCCCACAAACCCGGUCUCAGUUCGGAUCGGAGGCUGCAACCCGCCUCCGUGAAGUGGGAGUUGCUAGUAACCGUGGGUCAGCACACCACGGUGAAUACGUUCCC